RNAcentral lists this ribosomal RNA (349 nucleotides) under uncultured bacterium. RNAcentral describes it as "bacterial SSU rRNA". It matches the Rfam family "Bacterial small subunit ribosomal RNA", at positions 917 to 1269 of the family's 1533-position model. The record is from RNAcentral.
GGGCCCGCACAAGCGGUGGAGCAUGUGGUUUAAUUCGAUGAUACGCGAGGAACCUUACCAGGGCUUAAAUGUAGUGGGACAGGUCUAGAGAUAGACCCUUCUUCGGACUCAUUACAAGGUGCUGCAUGGUUGUCGUCAGCUCGUGCCGUGAGGUGUCAGGUUAAGUCCUAUAACGAGCGCAACCCCUAUCGUUAGUUGCCAGCGAGUAAUGUCGGGAACUCUAACGAAACUGCCAGUGCAAACUGUGAGGAAGGUGGGGAUGACGUCAAAUCAUCACGGCCCUUACGUCCUGGCUACACACGUGCUACAAUGGCCGGUACAGAGAGCAGCUACCGGGUGACCGGAUGCG